Molecule: ribosomal RNA, 459 nt
Filed under: uncultured bacterium
Lineage: Bacteria
Description: partial 16S ribosomal RNA
Rfam family: Bacterial small subunit ribosomal RNA
Source: RNAcentral
CCUACGGGAGGCUGCAGUGAGGAAUAUUGGUCAAUGGGCGGGAGCCUGAACCAGCCAAGCCGCGUGAGGGAAGAAGGUACAGCGUAUCGUAAACCUCUUUUGUCAGGGAACAAAGGCGGGGACUAGUCCCCGGAUGAGGGUACCUGAAGAAAAAGCAUCGGCUAACUCUGUGCCAGCAGCCGCGGUAAUACGGAGGAUGCGAGCGUUUUCCGGAUUUAUUGGGUUUAAAGGGUGCGCAGGCGGCCUGUUAAGUCAGCGGGAAAAGCCCGGGGCUCAACCCCGGCGAGCCGUUGAAACUGGCGGGCGGGAGUUGGAGAGAAGUACGCGGAAUGGGCGGUGGAGCGGUGAAAUGCUUAGAUAUCGCGCAGAACCCCGAUUGCGAAGGCAGCGGACCGGCGCCACACUGACGCUGAGGCACGAAAGCGGGGGUAUCGAACAGAAUUAGAUACCCCGGUAGUC